UGCUGGGAGUCAAACUGCGGCGGCGCCGGAGCCGGAGCCGCGAGUCGCCGUCGAGCGUGUCCUUUCCUCUCCUCUAGCCCACACAGCCUCCAUCUUCUUCUUCCUCCCGCACAUAAGUGACGGACACGGAUGGCGGCGGCCCAGCGACGGUAGCCUCCCUCUGGAUCUUCUCUCGUUGCCCUCUUGUUGAAGCCACCGAGGGGGACAAAGGACGCGUACCCAAGACAACGCGCUCACAGUGGCGCAGAUCCCCCUGUUGCCUGGUGCCGGCAGUAUGUUGCCCUGUCCCUUUCGGUUGGGUUGGCCGGCGGGAGCGAGUGAAAGGGGAUCGUGAGGGGAUAGUGCACUGCAGGUAAGCUUGCAGGGGAAGAAAUUCGAUGGAGGAGCUCACACAGAGAGGUUACGCAAUAUUUACAUUACAUUUCCUUGCUGAUGAGCGACACUAACCUAAUGAUGUAUUUCUCAUAGAUUUUCAUUUCCUUGGUACUCAAGUUCAAUAGAUUCAUCUCAUAAUCUUGCCACUGACAAUAGCUCUUGCAACUUUGCAAGCUUACAUAUGUUGAUUACCUAGGGUAAUGCAAUUGUGCAAACCGCGAGCACCACCGCUGGAUCAACAAGAAUCCAGACAUGCCACAAGAAGGAAAGUUUGCUAAAGCUCUUUAAUUGGGACGGUGGGAUCUGCUUUGUUUUCCCUUCUUGGGUUCUCCUUUUAUAAUCUUGAGUGCCAGCAUAUCAAAGACAGUCUAUGUACUUUCCCGAGAAUGAAAUGUUGUUAUAUUUAUGGGUUCUUGUCUGGGUGCCAUGAUUUAACUUUCUUUGCACUAUCUCUUACCAGUGUUUGUUCUUUCUCAGGCUGUGAGGCCUGAGUUUUUGACUUGCACCUUUGGCAGGUCAUUGAAAUCAGAACCCCGUCAACUCUGAAGCGGCUGCUACAUCAAUUUCUAUAACUCACAGAAUUCCCUACUUCAAUUGCACAUGCAUGCUUGAUGGAUAUGAGGAUAUCUUGUACGAGUUAACGAAUUCUAGCAUUAAGUCGUACUUCCUGAAGACGUAGUUGAUUAUGAAACUCAGAUACUGUAACCUUAGACCGGAUCAGAAGCAACAUUUGUACAUGCCCCGUUCCAGAAUAUGCAGAGAAGAUGAUUGCUGCAAUUGAUGAAGUACGAGUUGAUAGAAAUUAGAUUGGUGGGACGGUCACAUGUAUUGCGAGAAAUGUUCCUCGUGCUCGGGAAUGAUAUACAAUUAUGUUGGGUACUUCCUGUGGGAUUUUUCACCUUUCGUGUACCUGUGUUAGGUAAGUCUUGGAGCGAGUAGUGGAUGGCGUGGAUGGUUCUGGCUGAUGGCGUGGAUGGCCACGACAGAGUCGACGGUGGAGGCGGCCGCUAGCUCAGGGUGUCACGUCCAUGGUCAUCCUGUCUGCUGUUUGCAGCACGGAUGUCGUAGAUGGCGUGUAGGCCAACCUUGACCAGCAACGUAGGUGCAGGUCAUUUCCCCAUAAUGGCAACAGUGGCGACGGAGAGGUACAGUCGCCGCCAUGGACUGCUGCAGAUGGCGCUUUGCCUUGGGAUGGUGAUGCUGCUUCCCCUGUGGGACGGGGUGGCUUUGCCUUGGCGCUACCAUUGUCGUUGAGGAUGCAGGACAUGGUGGUGGUUCCACUGGAUCCAGCACGGUUUUAGGCUGCAUAUUGUUGCUGCUCCUAUUUUUCUGCCAGGUUGCAGGGGAUUGAGCGGCAGUGCUCUGUGUCGUUGGUACAUCAAUAAAGAUCUACCAGAAAUAACUGAGAUACUUACACAUAAGUACUCCUGGUGCAGUUAGGGAUUUUUUUAUACCAUGGUGCAUCUUUCUGAUGUGCGUGUUGCUUCAGAUGGUCACUUGUCUUACUAUCUACUCUGCUAUUUUGUGUGGGAAUUCCCUGACUUUUUACAGUAGAAAGCAGGAAAGCAUUGCCCCACCUUUUAUUUUUAGCACGAUAUUCAGUGCUAAUUUUGAGUAGAAGAAGUGGAAAAAUUUCAGGGAGGAGGACGGAUAUGUUGGAUCUACUUCGAUGGUGGAGGCUGGCGCUAGAUUUUGGGUGAUUUGCUUCGAUGGUCGAAGCCGGUGCUGGAUUGGGGUUUCACGAUCAUGAUGGUCAUCCUUUCUGCCAGCACUGCAUGGCGUCGACGUUGUGCGGGCGAAGCUUUAGCAUCAAACACGAAGUAGCCUGCAUGUUCAUAUGCAUAGUCGAUGGCGCGCUGACAUCAUGGCUGCCGUGGUCUACAAGUUGGAGCAGUGGUACCUGCCACAUGACUUCCAGGGCGCUGCUCGUGGAGCUCCAGUUGCAGAGCACUUAGGCUCCGCCGACUUGCCAUGGCCGAGCUUCGCUGCAGCGUCCUCUUCAGGUUGGAGCAGUGGUACCUGCCACAUGACUUCCAGGGCGCUGCUCGUGGAGCUCCAGUUGCAGAGCACUUAGGCUCCGCCGACUUGCCAUGGCCGAGCUUCGCUGCAGCGCCACAGUCGUUGCCGAGGCCGCAGGACAUCAUGGUGGUGGAACCUGGGGUGGUGAUCAUAAGAGAGUAGGAGAGGAGUGUAUGUGUGUGUGUGUGUGUGUGUGUGGUCGCGAGGUGUUCAAUUUAUAUUUCAUAACAAAACCUUUAUCUCUUAACCCAGUUCUUCUGCUUGCAUAUUUGUUGUGGUUUUGUGGUGUGGUAAGAAUUGGAAGGGCAAGUUCAUCAACCAUUUAUCAUACUGACGCAUGUAAUUAUACUCUAGAUCCUUUUGUACAUGCAUGUUUAUUUCAAACCAUUCAUGAGUUGCGUGGGGUUCUAAUCGUUGUGCUGGUUGUUU
This is a non-coding RNA of Lolium perenne, 2823 nucleotides long. NCBI's taxonomy places the organism in Eukaryota, Viridiplantae, Streptophyta, Magnoliopsida, Poales, Poaceae. The record is from RefSeq and is a predicted model, not a curated record.